RNAcentral lists this long non-coding RNA (947 nucleotides) under Heterocephalus glaber (naked mole-rat). RNAcentral describes it as "lncRNA (ENSHGLG00100044546.1)". The record is from RNAcentral. Lineage: Eukaryota; Metazoa; Chordata; Mammalia; Rodentia; Bathyergidae.
CCAGUUUUUAGGUUAAUUUCUGGGUUUACUAUCAAUGCAUCAUUCAGUUUAUUUAAAUUUGGACCACAUAUCUAACAGUGGUUUAGGACUUGAGUUUUUCUUUUUGCCAGUAAUUUUCUCUCUUUUGAUUCAAAGCUGAAGACAUGAGAUACAUUGCUUUAUGGAUAAUAGCUACUUUUUCUAACCCAUGAGGAUAAAAUGAAAUCUGAAUUCCAACUGCUCCCCACCAUGUUGUUUUUAAAUGAGCAUUACAGUUUUAGCACUGGGCUUAUAGGAUUCUAUGCCUUCUCUAACACCUGAGGGUUGGCACUGAAUUACUUUUAGAUUAUUGUCCUUGUACUGAUGUUAUUUCUCCUUUCUAUGGAGAUCUCUUGUCUUAUUGUGAUUUAUUUAAUAUUUUCCAUUUUAUCCAGAAUUUUUAGGUACUUAAAAUACAAAGUUCAUCAGUUCAGUAUUCAUGAUGCAAAACGUUGGCCUCAGAGUUUUCUGUAGUAACAUUUAGUAAAAGAAAACAAAAGAAUAUUGUCAACAUAGCUCUAAAGUAAAUAAGUCUAGUAAUUUUAUUAGAAUAUGUUCCAGUGUGCUUCUUUUGGAUCAAUUUCUCAGGUAGGUGCUGUGCCUAUUCAAUUUGCAGUUCUAAUUUUUUACAGUGGACACUUGACCUACAAACUUGAUUCAUUCCCGAGGGCUGGUUGUAACUCAAGUUGGUCAAUAAAGGCUUAGACUCCUCUACACAGCCUUCAAAGUUUCUCUCCUGUACACAGGCAGGUCUCAGUGUCCUUAGAGAGACAUUGUCCCAGGAUUUCUCAGCUCCACACAGGAAAGGACGUUGUAUGUAUUAUAAAAAAGAUAUUACAGUUUUGGGAAGUAUUCUCUCAAUUAUUUUUGUUACAUUUAUUCUAUUUCUUUGCUUUGUUUGAGACUAUUAUACAUCUGUUGAAUCAUCU